Non-coding RNA from Nicotiana tabacum (common tobacco), 206 nucleotides. The record is from RefSeq and is a predicted model, not a curated record. Lineage: Eukaryota; Viridiplantae; Streptophyta; Magnoliopsida; Solanales; Solanaceae.
UUACUUAUCCUGAUUUUACAAAAAAUAAAAAGUGACUAAAAUCCCCCAAAAGGACUUAGGUAUCUUUCUCAUUUCUGCUCUCUUUGCCUCUUUCCGUCUCUCCGCCUACGACUCUACUUCCACAGCCAUGGCACAAGACACGGGCAUGUUUACAGUGCAUCGAACAAUUGGAAGUGUUUUAUGCUGCAAAUGUGGUAUUUCUAUGC